UGCAUCUUGGAACUUAACUAAUUUUGCUCUUUUAUUCACAGCCUCAACAAUUUGAUCCUGUUUAUAACUGUAGUCAAUAUAUCUGCCUUAACAUGGAGUGGACCUUUUACAACUGGUCUCUGAAUUGCCCGACGGACUUGGAAAUGCCAGACUGUGGGUUCCGAGGAUGGCCUGUUCAAGUGAACACUGAUAUAUGCUGCCCUGAGUGGGAAUGUCCCUGUCGGUGCUCCAUGUUGUCAGAGCUGAGCAUUAUUACGUUUG
RNAcentral lists this long non-coding RNA (261 nucleotides) under Rattus norvegicus (Norway rat). RNAcentral's name for it is "long non-coding RNA NONRATT033532". Lineage: Eukaryota; Metazoa; Chordata; Mammalia; Rodentia; Muridae. The record is from RNAcentral.